RNAcentral lists this transfer RNA (70 nucleotides) under Dipodomys ordii (Ord's kangaroo rat). It matches the Rfam family "tRNA". From Rfam's summary of the family: Transfer RNA (tRNA) molecules are approximately 80 nucleotides in length. Their secondary structure includes four short double-helical elements and three loops (D, anti-codon, and T loops). The record is from Rfam by way of RNAcentral. Lineage: Eukaryota; Metazoa; Chordata; Mammalia; Rodentia; Heteromyidae.
GGGAAGGUGGCUCAGUGGUAGAGUGCUUGCCUUGAAUAUAAGAGGCCCUAGGUUUGAUUCCUCAGUACCA